CUCGCCUUCACCAGUCCAACAUAUUCAAAUAGGUCAAAGGCGCCUCAAACCUGAAGGAAAGCGUCACGGAAAUAUCAAUCAAAACUGCAAGAAAAUGCGUUCAGAGGUGUUCAUUGUCGUUCUUGAGCCGUGUUCUAGAGAUGUUUGUUAUCAAGUUAUUGCGUCAGUCAUCGUCAUGCUUCAACCUUUGGCUCGCCGAUUUGGAAAUGUUACGUUCAUCAGCAUCAAGAUCCAAAUUCCCUCACACGAAGUACAAUGGCACUCCCUUCAACAAGUCGAACUUUGUUUUGUCACUAGCGUCUCCCUUCGAGAAAACACAUACACGCGAGAAUAGAAGCAUCAAUAAAUGGGGAUCGAUGAACUCACCAGAUUAGUUCGAUAGUUAACAGGACCAUGGAUGAUGGUAUUGUUCUUGCGGGAAGUGGUUAUAGGGUUUGUACUGCUUGUUAUGCUCAUGAUCUAACCUGCAGGAUGAUUGUUGUUGAGGCAAGAUGAAUGCUUGGCUUGGUGUAAUGGUUGCUGCCAGCUUCAUGUGGUCUGUAGAAAGACUCCAAUAGUGAUGGCAAAUGGAUGAGUGGGACUUGAAUAUGGAAAUUGAUACUUGUAAUCAAAUUAGAUCUUGUGUAUUUAGAACUUGUACAACUUGUUUUAUUGAAGUGUAAUAGAUAUUAACAACUAUGUAUACAAAAUGAUCUUUGAUAACA
Molecule: long non-coding RNA, 704 nt
Organism: Lathyrus oleraceus (garden pea)
Lineage: Eukaryota; Viridiplantae; Streptophyta; Magnoliopsida; Fabales; Fabaceae
Exons: 2
Source: RefSeq, a predicted model, not a curated record